RNAcentral lists this small RNA (496 nucleotides) under Histoplasma ohiense. RNAcentral's name for it is "hypothetical lncRNA". Lineage: Eukaryota; Fungi; Ascomycota; Eurotiomycetes; Onygenales; Ajellomycetaceae. The record is from RNAcentral.
AUGUGCGCGAAUUGCGCCAGGGCGUUGAGUAGCUGUAACCGUAGCCGGAGCCGGAGCUGGAGCUGGAGCUGGAGCUGCAGACGGAUCAGAGAAUUCCCGCCAAAUCCUCCUGUAACCGAAUAAAUAAUAUCCACGCUAUUUAAAUUCUCCUGGUAUAAAACCUCCCCGCCCCGCCGUCUCCCUUCCUCGGCCUCCUUACCCCCAUCGUCGUCUCUCUCGCGCGGACCCAAUUCCGCGGCUGCUAGUUAGUUGACUACCCCCCAACCGUGGUCCUUUCUCCCGGCGGCGACACCCUGACCGACGACGACAACUGACGGACCCAUCAGAUCUUCUUCAGUGACAGCGACAGCGACAGCGAGAACGGACCCUCCGCUAUUCUUACCAAGCACAACUCGUUUACCCCGUAUUUGUGUUUUCGCCCCCCUGUGCUUGGGUUUUUUCGCCGUUGCCCUUCUUGCUGCUGUCGGAGAGAAAAUUCGCGGUCUUUCUUCCCGCC